Non-coding RNA from Acanthosepion pharaonis, 100 nucleotides. The record is from the annotation of a GenBank genome assembly. NCBI's taxonomy places the organism in Eukaryota, Metazoa, Mollusca, Cephalopoda, Sepiida, Sepiidae.
GCUUUGAAAAACUGGUUUUCGUACGAUCACCGAAGCUAAGCAAUUCCAGCUUGGUCAGUACUUAGACGGGUGACCACUUGGGAAUACCAGGUGCUGUAAG